AAUAUUAGUCAAUGCUCGAAAGAGUGAACUAGCUAACUGAAAUCAAUUUAAAAUUGAUAACAUAAGGGAAAAUAAUGAUAUUACCUUAUUAUUAGUGUCGUCCAAAACUGGUGCCAGAAGACUCGGUAAGGCCAGAGACACAAACGUUAAUCGUCUUAAUCAGGCGUAAAGGGUUUGUAGGCGGCUUUUAAUUUACUUAUAAAAUUUUUAAAAUUUAAAUAAGUUAAGAAUAAAAGCUAGAAUCAAAUAGAGGAUAUAUCAAAUAAUGCUUAGAGUAGGUCUGAUAUCCAUAGAUACUAAGUAGAAUAUUAAAGGCGAAAGCUUUUUUCCAUAAAUGAUUGACGCUCAGAAACGAAGGUGAGGAUAGGAAAUAGGAUUAGAUACCCAAAAUACCCCUCUCUGUCAACGAUGAAUGGUAAUUAUUAAUAAUAAAUUUAUUAUUAAUGAUAAUGUUAACACGAUAACCAUUCCGCCUUGUGAGUACAACUGCAAAGUUGAAAACAAAAAAAUUAGUCGGUUUCGGAGCAAACGAAGUGAAGCAUGUUAUUUAAUUCGAUAAUCCGCAA
This 566-nucleotide ribosomal RNA is filed under the name Russula sp. Its description in RNAcentral is "SSU rRNA". It matches the Rfam family "Bacterial small subunit ribosomal RNA", at positions 360 to 964 of the family's 1533-position model. The record is from RNAcentral. Lineage: Eukaryota; Fungi; Basidiomycota; Agaricomycetes; Russulales; Russulaceae.